ACAUGCAGUCGAGCGGAUCAAUGGGGAGCUUGCUCCCCUGAGAUCAGCGGCGGACGGGUGAGUAACACGUGGGCAACCUGCCUGUAAGACUGGGAUAACUCCGGGAAACCGGGGCUAAUACCGGAUAAUACUGACCACCACAUGGUGGAAAGUUGAAAGAUGGCUUCGGCUAUCACUUACAGAUGGGCCCGCGGCGCAUUAGCUAGUUGGUGAGGUAAGGGCUCACCAAGGCGACGAUGCGUAGCCGACCUGAGAGGGUGAUCGGCCACACUGGGACUGAGACACGGCCCAGACUCCUACGGGAGGCAGCAGUAGGGAAUCUUCGGCGAUGGGCGAAAGCCUGACCGAGCAACGCCGCGUGAGCGAUGAAGGCCUUCGGGUCGUAAAGCUCUGUUGUUAGGGAAGAACAAGUACCGUUCGAACAGGGCGGUACCUUGACGGUACCUAACCAGAAAGCCACGGCUAACUACGUGCCAGCAGCCGCGGUAAUACGUAGGUGGCAAGCGUUGUCCGGGAAUUAUUGGGCGUAAAGCGCGCGCAGGCGGUCUCUUAAGUCUGAUGUGAAAGCCCACGGCU
RNAcentral lists this ribosomal RNA (576 nucleotides) under uncultured bacterium. RNAcentral describes it as "bacterial SSU rRNA". It matches the Rfam family "Bacterial small subunit ribosomal RNA", at positions 53 to 609 of the family's 1533-position model. The record is from RNAcentral.